RNAcentral lists this ribosomal RNA (366 nucleotides) under uncultured Rhodoferax sp. Its description in RNAcentral is "bacterial SSU rRNA". It matches the Rfam family "Bacterial small subunit ribosomal RNA", at positions 1014 to 1382 of the family's 1533-position model. Lineage: Bacteria; Pseudomonadati; Pseudomonadota; Betaproteobacteria; Burkholderiales; Comamonadaceae. The record is from RNAcentral.
GUUACUUCGGUACAUCGGUGACAGGUGGUGCAUGGUUGUCGUCAGCUCGUGUCGUGAGAUGUUGGGUUAAGUCCCGCAACGAGCGCAACCCUUGUCAUUAGUUGCUACAUUCAGUUGGGCACUCUAAUGAGACUGCCGGUGACAAGCCGGAGGAAGGUGGGGAUGACGUCAAGUCCUCAUGGCCCUUAUAGGUGGGGCUACACACGUCAUACAAUGGCUGGUACAAAGGGUUGCCAACCCGCGAGGGGGAGCUAAUCCCAUAAAGCCAGUCGUAGUCCGGAUCGUAGUCUGCAACUCGACUACGUGAAGUCGGAAUCGCUAGUAAUCGUGGAUCAGAAUGUCACGGUGAAUACGUUCCCGGGUCUU